This is a long non-coding RNA of Sinocyclocheilus grahami, 593 nucleotides long. RefSeq lists it as uncharacterized. The transcript is spliced from 4 exons. The record is from RefSeq and is a predicted model, not a curated record. NCBI's taxonomy places the organism in Eukaryota, Metazoa, Chordata, Actinopteri, Cypriniformes, Cyprinidae.
UUGAAACAGGAACUACAUAACUGAAACCAAGGUAGAAGACCUGCCAUAAAAAACAUGACUAGACCUGAACUUAAAUCAUGAAAUGUGAAAAGACAAGCUGUUCAAACUAACCCCCGUUCAAAAUAAUGUGAAACAUGACUUUACCCAAGUUUAUACUGUGAAUGACAGACUAGACCGGUCUUGCUGUGGUUUCAGACCAGACCCAUCAGAACUCUGUGUAGAAAACCUGCUGCAUGUCAAAUGUGGAAACCCAAAGGACUUAAAUCUGGUGCACAUCCUGGUUCGGAAGACAGAACCUUCCAGACUGGUUUUUAUUGACAAUGCAGGAAGACCUCAUCAACCACAAGACAACCUCAACUUCAGACUGCUUGAAGGUAUUGAUGAGUUUCCAGAACGGGCCGUUUCAGUGCUGCAAUCAGGAUGUCUGGAGAGGAUGCUCCUUCGCUCCCUGUCUGUGGAUCGGGAAUUCUGGGUGAGCAGAGGAGAGGCGUCCGAACUCAAAUCCAUCAUCCGGCACGUUGAGCAAAGAGCCAAGGCCUUCCUCCAGUAUAUACAAGAGAAGAAACUACGACUUAACAGAGAUCUUUAACUCU